Molecule: long non-coding RNA, 705 nt
Filed under: Pan troglodytes (chimpanzee)
Lineage: Eukaryota; Metazoa; Chordata; Mammalia; Primates; Hominidae
Description: long non-coding RNA NONPTRT003736
Source: RNAcentral
CUCACCGUCUCCGCUUCGGGAACAAGGUCUUCAGGAACACCGCAGGUGUAUUCAGAGGGAGAAAGCCCUGUCUAAGAAGCUGAUCCAUCAUCUCCUCAUCAUCUGCUUGUAUCUCAGAGACCAUGUUACAAGGAAUAAGGCCGAGCCGGGCACAGGUUUCCCCGCGGUAGAAUCCGUCAGCGUCUUUAUCACCAUAAACCUAGAGCCGAGGGGGAAAAUAAAUCCAGCGCUGUAAUUGAUUGGUUCAGAAAUACAAUAGUCCCACUGACGAUUCGGGAGCACAUCAGCUAAUAUUGGAGCGAAUAAGGACAUCGAAAACAAACCAUCCUUAGAGGACAGGGAUGGCAACCCCAGGCACUUUCCAAGGCAGGCGGGAAUGAGUGAACCAGGCCAGCGGGGGCCAAACACUGCCGUGCCCAUCAGGGCUCCGGCUCCGCUACAGCUCCUCACUGCCACGUGAGAACGUGUGCGCUGAGUGACCAGAUCUCUGUACCACAUCUUGUAAUUUCUAAAGAGAACCCAGAAAUCCAGACCUGCCUACAUGAUUUCUAUUUUUUUUUUUUGAGACAGCGUCUCACUCUAUUGGCCCAGGCUGGAGUGCAGUGGCGCAAUCUCAGCUCACUGCAACUUCUGCCUCCCAGGUUCAAGUGAUUCUCCUGCCUCAGCCUCCCGAAUAGCUGGGAUUACAGGCGCGUGCCACCAUGC